This 108-nucleotide non-coding RNA is filed under the name Dasypus novemcinctus (nine-banded armadillo). Lineage: Eukaryota; Metazoa; Chordata; Mammalia; Cingulata; Dasypodidae. The record is from RNAcentral.
GUGUUAUAUGAAAGGAGAGGAUAGCACUCCCCUUGACAAGGAUGGAAGAGGCCCUCAGGCCUGUACAACAUGCAUAAAGUCCUUUACUGAUCACCAGUUCAUAUUUAU